RNAcentral lists this ribosomal RNA (451 nucleotides) under uncultured bacterium. RNAcentral's name for it is "bacterial SSU rRNA". It matches the Rfam family "Bacterial small subunit ribosomal RNA", at positions 29 to 465 of the family's 1533-position model. The record is from RNAcentral.
AACGAACGUUAGCGGCGCGCUUAACACAUGCAAGUCGAGCGAGAAGGGGGCAACCCCAGUAAAGCGGCGCACGGGUGAGUAACACGUAGGUAAUCUACCUCGAGGUGGUGGAUAACCUUCCGAAAGGAGGGCUAAUACAGCAUGAGACCACGUUCUCGAAAGAGGAUGAGGUAAAAGCGGGCCUCUAUACAUAAGCUCGCGCCACGAGAUGAGCCUGCGGCCCAUCAUGGUAGUUGGUAGGGUAAUGGCCUACCAAGCCGAAGACGGGUAGCUGGUCUGAGAGGAUGAUCAGCCACACUGGAACUGAGACACGGUCCAGACUCCUACGGGAGGCAGCAGUGGGGAAUCUUGCGCAAUGGGCGAAAGCCUGACGCAGCGACGCCGCGUGAGUGAUGAAGGCCUCGGUUGGUAAGACUCUGUGGAGGGGACGGAAGUAAGGGUUAGGUUAAGU